This is a long non-coding RNA of Raphanus sativus (radish), 1384 nucleotides long. RefSeq lists it as uncharacterized. The record is from RefSeq and is a predicted model, not a curated record. NCBI's taxonomy places the organism in Eukaryota, Viridiplantae, Streptophyta, Magnoliopsida, Brassicales, Brassicaceae. The transcript is spliced from 5 exons.
AUUUAGACAUUCCCUCUGAAAAGAAAAGAAGAAACCCUAAUUCCAUCUCUCACUCUCUCUUACUAGCUCUCUUUGAUUCGAUCUGAUAUAUAUAUAUAUAUAUCAUGGAAGGAACCAAUGGAUCGGUAGUGCUUGAAUCGCGGCUAUAAUAAGCUGCGCUCUUUCUCCUCGUGAGUACCGUUUUCUUCGUUUAAUCGCUUGGUUUCGGAAUCGUUGUCAGUUUCGUUAAGCGUUGAUUAGGGUUUCUGUUUGAGAAGCAAAAUUAGUUGAUAGUUUGAUUAAUUGCAUGUUGAAUCAAAAGAUAUAACUUCAUUCAUCUUUUUUUUUGUGUGUGCAAGGAGAUGGUUUCAAGGUAGAGACAAUGUGUAAACUUCAAUGAAGGUGAACAAGAAGAAGAUUAACCAAUAAAGGAUCUAAGAACCACGUAGCUGCUGCAACUGUUGCUUCACAACCGGAGCCCCAUAUAGUAUCUCUGAGGCCAAGAAAGAAGAAAGUUGAUACUACUGAAGCCAUCUUCCAAAAGGACUCAAAGUUCUUUAUUUAUCUAUCUUUCUUUUGGGGAGUCCCAAAAACAUAUCUGCUGGCACUACUACCAAUCUGAUUAUUCAGUAUAAAUUAAGCCAUCAAAAAAGCAAAAGCUAGAUGAUGGAAAAUCAAGACUGUGCACGGAUCAGGAAGUUGAGCCAGAUGCUUAUGUUGCGGUGAUGGAUGUUAUCUUGAUUGGUGGUUCAACAAGGAUCUAUCUAUAGGCGUGCGCUGGGUUCCACACUUCCUCUGCAUAUGAUACAAUCCAUUUGUUUAACCGCUUGACGCAUCUACUACGCCUAUGGAGCAAGAUGAUGAAGAGAACAUAGAAAAUCUAGAGGUUUGCUCAUCAGGUCUUGAGUUCUGAAAUUACUGAUUUUGAUGUUCUUCUCUAUGCUCCUUGGUGCUACUGGAGUAAACGUUUGGUAAAAGAUGCAGAAACAUGGUGAUUUCAAGCUUCCUCAGUUCUUCAACUAUCCUCCAUACUUCCUCGGAAUUAUCUGAUAAAUGAUCAGAACAGCAACUGAGUUAAACACAGCAUGAUAGGACGAUUCUAAUGAAGGCCUUGAAGCUGCUAGAGAACAAGGGCAAGCUUGCAUUGUUCAAAGGAACAUCGGCUGAUGAUGAAGGCUUCAAGUUCUCUUUCUGAAUGCUACUCUCUGUAUAAAAGAAUGGCCAACAGAAGCUCUAACUCUAUGAAAGAAUCACUAGAUAUCCACAAGGAUUUUGCAGUUGAUCUUCCAGCAAUCACUAUGUAUUAAUUCUUUUAAACAUAUUUCUAUGCUACUCUUUCAAAAGUUAAACAAAAAAAAACUAAAAAGAAAAGCAUGUUAAAAAAUAAUGUUAUAUUUGACCAAAA